UACGGAGGAUCCGAGCGUUAUCCGGAUUUAUUGGGUUUAAAGGGUGCGUAGGCGGCUUUAUAAGUCAGUGGUGAAAGACGGUGGCUCAACCAUCGCAGUGCCUUUGAUACUGUAGAGCUUGAAUGUAGUUGAAGUAUGCGGAAUGAGACAAGUAGCGGUGAAAUGCAUAGAUAUGUCUCAGAACACCGAUUGCGAAGGCAGCAUACUAAGUUAAUAUUGACGCUGAUGCACGAAAGCGUGGGGAUCGAAC
Molecule: ribosomal RNA, 250 nt
Filed under: uncultured bacterium
Lineage: Bacteria
Description: partial 16S ribosomal RNA
Rfam family: Bacterial small subunit ribosomal RNA
Source: RNAcentral